GUAGGGAAUCUUGCGCAAUGGGCGAAAGCCUGACGCAGCCAUGCCGCGUGAAUGAUGAAGGUCUUAGGAUUGUAAAAUUCUUUCACCGGGGACGAUAAUGACGGUACCCGGAGAAGAAGCCCCGGCUAACUUCGUGCCAGCAGCCGCGGUAAUACGAAGGGGGCUAGCGUUGCUCGGAAUUACUGGGCGUAAAGGGAGCGUAGGGGGAUAGUUUAGUCAGAGGUGAAAGCCCAGGGCUCAACCUUGGAAUUGCCUUUGAUACUGGCUAUCUUGAGUAUGGAAGAGGUAUGUGGAACUCCGAGUGUAGAGGUGAAAUUCGUAGAUAUUCGGAAGAACACCAGUGGCGAAGGCGACAUACUGGUCCAUUACUGACGCUGAGGCUCGAAAGCGUGGGGAGCAAACAGGAUUAGAUACCCGGGUAGUCC
Molecule: ribosomal RNA, 425 nt
Filed under: uncultured bacterium
Lineage: Bacteria
Description: partial 16S ribosomal RNA
Rfam family: Bacterial small subunit ribosomal RNA
Source: RNAcentral